UUAAGCGACUAAGCGUACACGGUGGAUGCCCUGGCAGUCAGAGGCGAUGAAGGACGUGCUAAUCUGCGAAAAGCGUCGGUAAGGUGAUAUGAACCGUUAUAACCGGCGAUGUCCGAAUGGGGAAACCCAGUGUGAUUCGUCACACUAUCGUUAACUGAAUACAUAGGUUAACGAGGCGAACCGGGGGAACUGAAACAUCUAAGUACCCCGAGGAAAAGAAAUCAACCGAGAUUCCCCCAGUAGCGGCGAGCGAACGGGGAGCAGCCCAGAGUCUGAAUCAGCUUGUGUGUUAGUGGAACGGUCUGGAAAGUCCGACGGUACAGGGUGAUAGUCCCGUACACCAAAAUGCACAGGCUGUGAACUCGAAGAGUAGGGCGGGACACGUGGUAUCCUGUCUGAAUAUGGGGGGACCAUCCUCCAAGGCUAAAUACUCCUGACUGACCGAUAGUGAACCAGUACCGUGAGGGAAAGGCGAAAAGAACCCCGGCGAGGGGAGUGAAAAAGAACCUGAAACCGUGUACGUACAAGCAGUGGGAGCACCUUCGGGUGUGACUGCGUACCUUUUGUAUAAUGGGUCAGCGACUUAUAUUCUGUAGCAAGGUUAACCGUAUAGGGGAGCCGCAGGGAAACCGAGUCUUAACUGGGCGUUAAGUUGCAGGGUAUAGACCCGAAACCCGGUGAUCUAGCCAUGGGCAGGUUGAAGGUUGGGUAACACUAACUGGAGGACCGAACCGACUAAUGUUGAAAAAUUAGCGGAUGACUUGUGGCUGGGGGUGAAAGGCCAAUCAAACCGGGAGAUAGCUGGUUCUCCCCGAAAGCUAUUUAGGUAGCGCCUCGUGAACUCAUCUUCGGGGGUAGAGCACUGUUUCGGCUAGGGGGUCAUCCCGACUUACCAACCCGAUGCAAACUACGAAUACCGAAGAAUGUUAUCACGGGAGACACACGGCGGGUGCUAACGUCCGUCGUGAAGAGGGAAACAACCCAGACCGCCAGCUAAGGUCCCAAAGUCAUGGUUAAGUGGGAAACGAUGUGGGAAGGCACAGACAGCCAGGAUGUUGGCUUAGAAGCAGCCAUCAUUUAAAGAAAGCGUAAUAGCUCACUGGUCGAGUCGGCCUGCGCGGAAGAUGUAACGGGGCUAAACCAUGCACCGAAGCUGCGGCAGCGACACUAUGUGUUGUUGGGUAGGGGAGCGUUCUGUAAGCCUGCGAAGGUGACCUGUGAGGGUUGCUGGAGGUAUCAGAAGUGCGAAUGCUGACAUAAGUAACGAUAAAGCGGGUGAAAAGCCCGCUCGCCGGAAGACCAAGGGUUCCUGUCCAACGUUAAUCGGGGCAGGGUGAGUCGACCCCUAAGGCGAGGCCGAAAGGCGUAGUCGAUGGGAAACAGGUUAAUAUUCCUGUACUUGGUGUUACUGCGAAGGGGGGACGGAGAAGGCUAUGUUAGCCGGGCGACGGUUGUCCCGGUUUAAGCAUGUAGGCUGGUUAUCCAGGCAAAUCCGGAUAAUCAAGGCUGAGGUGUGAUGACGAGGCACUACGGUGCUGAAGUAACAAAUGCCCUGCUUCCAGGAAAAGCCUCUAAGCAUCAGGUAACAUCAAAUCGUACCCCAAACCGACACAGGUGGUCAGGUAGAGAAUACCAAGGCGCUUGAGAGAACUCGGGUGAAGGAACUAGGCAAAAUGGUGCCGUAACUUCGGGAGAAGGCACGCUGGUGUGUAGGUGAAGUCCCUGCGGAUGGAGCUGAGACCAGUCGAAGAUACCAGCUGGCUGCAACUGUUUAUUAAAAACACAGCACUGUGCAAACACGAAAGUGGACGUAUACGGUGUGACGCCUGCCCGGUGCCGGAAGGUUAAUUGAUGGGGUUAUCCGUAAGGAGAAGCUCUUGAUCGAAGCCCCGGUAAACGGCGGCCGUAACUAUAACGGUCCUAAGGUAGCGAAAUUCCUUGUCGGGUAAGUUCCGACCUGCACGAAUGGCGUAAUGAUGGCCAGGCUGUCUCCACCCGAGACUCAGUGAAAUUGAACUCGCUGUGAAGAUGCAGUGUACCCGCGGCAAGACGGAAAGACCCCGUGAACCUUUACUAUAGCUUGACACUGAACAUUGAGCCUUGAUGUGUAGGAUAGGUGGGAGGCUUUGAAGCGUGGACGCCAGUCUGCGUGGAGCCAACCUUGAAAUACCACCCUUUAAUGUUUGAUGUUCUAACGUUGGCCCCUGACCGGGGUUGCGGACAGUGUCUGGUGGGUAGUUUGACUGGGGCGGUCUCCUCCCAAAGCGUAACGGAGGAGCACGAAGGUUAGCUAAUCCUGGUCGGACAUCAGGAGGUUAGUGCAAUGGCAUAAGCUAGCUUGACUGCGAGCGUGACGGCGCGAGCAGGUGCGAAAGCAGGUCAUAGUGAUCCGGUGGUUCUGAAUGGAAGGGCCAUCGCUCAACGGAUAAAAGGUACUCCGGGGAUAACAGGCUGAUACCGCCCAAGAGUUCAUAUCGACGGCGGUGUUUGGCACCUCGAUGUCGGCUCAUCACAUCCUGGGGCUGAAGUAGGUCCCAAGGGUAUGGCUGUUCGCCAUUUAAAGUGGUACGCGAGCUGGGUUUAGAACGUCGUGAGACAGUUCGGUCCCUAUCUGCCGUGGGCGCUGGAGAAUUGAGGGGGGCUGCUCCUAGUACGAGAGGACCGGAGUGGACGCAUCACUGGUGUUCGGGUUGUCAUGCCAAUGGCACUGCCCGGUAGCUAAAUGCGGAAGAGAUAAGUGCUGAAAGCAUCUAAGCACGAAACUUGCCCCGAGAUGAGUUCUCCCUGAGACUUUAAGUCUCCUGAAGGAACGUUGAAGACGACGACGUUGAUAGGCCGGGUGUGUAAGCGCAGCGAUGCGUUGAGCUAACCGGUACUAAUGAACCGUGAGGCUUAACCU
Molecule: ribosomal RNA, 2899 nt
Filed under: Klebsiella pneumoniae
Lineage: Bacteria; Pseudomonadati; Pseudomonadota; Gammaproteobacteria; Enterobacterales; Enterobacteriaceae
Description: 23S ribosomal RNA
Rfam family: Bacterial large subunit ribosomal RNA
Source: RNAcentral